GAGCUUUCAAGGUCAUGGUGAUCCAGCAUAGCCAGGCCCUCCAUGGGCAGCAGCCUCGGGGGGUGACAGUGGGGGGACACGAGCGAAAGAGGUGCCCAGGCAUAGGGAUGGUGCCAGGGCUGGGCAGGUAGGGGCCCCCUGGGGUCACCUGUGGGGUCAGGUGGUCAUCAUAGACACUACCUGUCUGGACUAAAUAGCAGUGUCCCCGCUCCUUCUUCCUCUCUGAGCCACCUCUGGAAUUGAGGGCAGAAUUAACACUGUGAAGCCAGCUUUGUUUCCAGCCUCCUGGGUCUUGAUGCUGUUGCGCUGGAGAUAAGUGUUGCAGUGGAUCCGGGUGGCCUCACCUCGUCAAGGUAGGGGCAUUCAGCGUGGGCUCUGUGGAGGGCAUGUGUCACUCACAAGCUUGGCCUGGGAUUCCCUUGCAUUAAGCCAAUUCCUCUGAGGCCCCAGGCCUGAAGCUCCUGCAGGCUGCCACCAGGGGACAGUGGUGCCCAGGCUGGUGGCAUAUUUGGGAAUUCUGGACUUAGGCCAGCCUCCCUCCUCCCCUGCACAAGGGCCAG
This 560-nucleotide long non-coding RNA is filed under the name Homo sapiens (human). RNAcentral describes it as "HSALNT0297566". Lineage: Eukaryota; Metazoa; Chordata; Mammalia; Primates; Hominidae. The record is from RNAcentral.